GAUGAACGCUGGCGGCGUGCCUAAUACAUGCAAGUCGAACGAAACUUCUUUAUCACCGAGUGCUUGCACUCACCGAUAAAGAGUUGAGUGGCGAACGGGUGAGUAACACGUGGGCAACCUGCCCAAAAGAGGGGGAUAACACUUGGAAACAGGUGCUAAUACCGCAUAACCAUAGUUACCGCAUGGUAACUAUGUAAAAGGUGGCUAUACUACCGCUUUUGGAUGGGCCCGCGGCGCAUUAGCUAGUUGGUAGGGUAAAGGCUUACCAAGGCAAUGAUGCGUAGCCGAAUUGAGAGGUUGAUCGGCCACAUUGGGAAUGAGACACGGCCCAAACUCCUACGGGAGGCAGCAGUAGGGAAUCUUCCACCAUGGGCGAAAGCCUGAUGGAGCAACGCCGCGUGGGUGAAGAAGGUCUUCGGAUCGUAAAACCCUGUUGUUAGAGAAGAAAGUGCGUGAGAGUAACUGUUCACGUUUCGACGGUAUCUAACCGGAAAGCCACGGCUAAAUACGUG
Molecule: ribosomal RNA, 512 nt
Filed under: uncultured bacterium
Lineage: Bacteria
Description: partial 16S ribosomal RNA
Rfam family: Bacterial small subunit ribosomal RNA
Source: RNAcentral